CCUAGUAGCAUACCCAAUAAAAGUGAGGAUUCCAUUUUUGUCAAAAUUGAAAUGCAUCCAAUUCGCGAGAGAUACAGACGUCUCUGAUUCGCAGCGCCUCUCUCCUUUGUCUUUCUCUCCAAUCAAUUCAAUCGCCGAGGUUUCUAGGUCUACAAUUCUUCAACGGAAAAGGGGAAAGUUUCAAUCUUGAAUCGCUAUGUCUAAGAGGGUCCUUUGCAAGUUCUUUGCCCAUGGAGCAUGUCUGAAAGGGGAUAAUUGUGAGUUUUCUCAUGAUUGGAAGGCUCCACCAAAUAAUAUUUGCACCUACUAUCAGAGAGGAAUGUGUGCCUAUGGCAGUCGAUGCAGAUAUGAACAUGUUAAAGCUUCUCGGUCGGAGUCAGCAGCAUCAUCUUCAUCGGCAUAUCCUUGUCCAUCUGUAGUCUCAAAUUUCAAUCCCGAAUUUCUUCGUUCAAAAACAUCUUCAUCGGCAUAUCCUUGUCCAUCUGUAGUCUCAAAUUUCAAUCCUGAAUUUCUUGGUUCAAAAACUGCAUCAAGUGAGGUAAAUACACUUCUAGGCGCUCCUGCAGUGACUAAAACUUUUGCUCCCAGCACUAAUCCAGCUUGGAAUUCAGAUCCUACUCAGCACACUAUUUUGGACAAUGGUGAUGUUGUGGAACCUAGAAGUGUAAAUCCAGUUGAUCGUCCCCUCUGUUCAUUUGCCGCGGCUGGUAACUGUCCUCGUGGUGAUACCUGUCCGCAUAUUCAUGGGGACGUAUGUUCCACCUGUGGAAAGCAUUGCUUGCACCCUUUUAGACCUGAAGAAAGAGAGCAGCAUAAGAGAACAUGUGAGAAAAAGCAGAAACACCUAGAGGCAUUAAAACAUAGUCAAGAAAUUGAGUGCAGUGUGUGUCUCGAGCGUGUACUCUCAAAGACCACAGUAGCUGAAAGGAAGUUUGGGUUACUAUCGGAAUGUGAUCAUCCAUUCUGUAUAUCAUGCAUCAGGAAUUGGCGUAGUAGCUCACCAAGCUCUGGAGUGGAUGUUAAUUCUGCACUGAGGACUUGCCCAAUAUGUCGUAAGCUGUCAUACUUUGUCAUUCCCAGUGUAAUUUGGUACUCAACACAAGAAGAGAAACAGGAUAUUGUUGAUAGCUACAAGGAAAAACUCAGCUCAAUUGAUUGCAAACACUUCAACUUUGGGAACGGGAAUUGCCCAUUUGGGACUAGUUGUUUUUACAAGCAUACGGUCAAGCCAGGCUCAUAUAUGUGGAAGUAUCACAGACCACCUCCUUCCAGCCGUCCUCCACGCAGAUCCAAUAUUGUCGAUAUGGAUGAGUUUUAUGAUGUGUUUGAGAGUUUCAUGGAUGAUGAGUACCUUUGUUAUGCCGAAGAUUUUUAUGAUGAAGAUUUUUACGAUGAAGAUCUAACACCUAUGGAGAUGGCGUUGUUACUAAUGCAUCUGGAGUCUCAUUCCGAUGGCUCCUCUAGUGAUGAGGAGGACAUAUCUUAAGUUCUUAGAUUGCCGUCUUGUAACCACUAUACUUUUUUGUUGGAUAUUCAGUUUCUUGCAAAGUUGUCUUUUUGACUGCUUUCAACACACUGCUCAUGGAAAUUGGAAAAAGAUAGUGGUUGUAGGUUACUGACUGGCGAUUGUGUUUUAUUUAAUGUGGGAUACUGUUAAUUUCCAUUAAGGAUUGUGUUUUCUGUUUCUGCGAUGAUGGGAGCAAUAGUGCUGCCAAUUUGUUCUUCUGGUGUUAUUGGCUGUUUACCUGCCUCGAAUGCAUAAGCUAGUUGGUUGACUUGCUAUUUUGAUGAUUCCUUUCUCAAACUGCAUUUUCUUCUGGGAGGUGUUCAAUAUGGGGUUUGUAAAAAGGGUGUUUGGUGGGGUUCUAAGGUGUUCGCGAACUGUGUGUCAGUGUCCAAGACUUCCCCAUGUAGUUGCCAAACAGAUGCUGGUAUCCAACCCCUCCCUACACUACACCACGGAACUCCCCUGAACCCUCCAACUAACAUGCAUAUCAAGAUGGCCGUAUGGAGGAAGUAGUUCUGCGUCAUCUUGGGGCAGAAGAUGGACUCACUGUGAUAGCUAAAGAUAUUAGGCUGUCAGACUUCCUGGGUGACUUAACUAUAAGGUGAAAGCUACUGCUCCAAUAGUUUGUGUGUAAGUCCAUUUAUACGGCUCUCUUUUUGCUGCUCAUUUGGUAUUUUGUCUGUGUGCAUAUGCUUUCUACUUUGGGACCAAUGCUUUAUUGCAACUGUGGAAUUUCAAACAAGCUCAAUUAUUUUAUGGCCUUUGCUGAUAAUUUAAGUUAGUUACAUUGCUUUGUUACUUUCUAUUUAGCUCCUUCCUUCCAGCUGCCUAACGAUGAUCACAGAAUCACAGCUGUGAUCAUGAAAAGUGAAGUGCCAUUGGCAACAUAUUAUUGUGGUUAGAUUUCUGGGCAUAAAGACAUAUGGGCCUCUGAAUAAAUAUAUUAGUUUAGUAUUUUCAGUCUUUCAUAGAGGAUCUUGUAUGACUCUUAUCUGGUAUUGCUCCUUUGGCGUGAUGGUUGGCCGUUUUACUUUGUGUCAUUGGUAGAGUAGUCACGUUGGCUCCUUUAACCAACCAGUUUAAUGUUUGAACCUUGGUGUCAUGAAAUUUAUGAUGAUAUGCAGCUUUUUAGUAAUAAAAUGAUUGUACAUAUUUUAAAUCAAGAUAUUUUCAACUCAUUGUGAAAGUUCUUCAAAUUGCUAGUUUCACACCAGUUUUUAAUCUGGUAAGGUGCCUUUUAUCGUAUUCUUUGAGCACUUCAUCAUGAUUGUUAACUUUGAAUCGAGCCCUGUGCUUUUAGACACGAUGAAACACUUGGAAGUUGGAACAGUCUUCUCCGUAUAUGCUUGUGGUGUUACUGCUUGCUUUAAUUGUUGAUAGUUUUAUCAGUAGUACUGCCUGGUAGUCUUGAGAAUGACUUGCUAUGCUUAAAGACUUUUUCUUGUGAUUACAUCGUGGCUAUUGAAAUUUACUGGCUGUUAAUUGAAUUUAGUAUGAUCAACUUGUAAUGAUUGCAUGAUAAAAAAGGAAAAAGAAAAUUUCAUGCAGACGUUGCCAGUCUGCUGUGUUUUGCAGUUAAUAUUGCAAGUUGAAGAAAAGCUGGAAUCACAUGGUAGAAUGGCCCCGUGUGAUGCGAAAAUGCUUAGUUUGCCUUCGAUUAUAUCCUCCUAAAGUAACUCCUCAUGGGUGUGUGGAUCUCUGCAAGGUGUUAAGCUGAUGACUUGAGAUCUUCUCAUGGUCUUUGCUGGAUAUAAGUAGAAAUAGGGUUUUUGUUAGAAUGCUUCUUUAAUCAAUUGAUUAGUCGUUGAGCACAAAGUAAGAGAACAUUACAAUGUAUUUGAUAAAACAAAGAGAAAAAUGAAUACAAAUUAAGAUUGGAAUGGAAU
This is an RNA transcript of Tripterygium wilfordii, 3393 nucleotides long. It is a transcript of the gene named putative RING-type E3 ubiquitin transferase C3H69, with no coding region annotated. The record is from RefSeq and is a predicted model, not a curated record. The transcript is spliced from 7 exons. NCBI's taxonomy places the organism in Eukaryota, Viridiplantae, Streptophyta, Magnoliopsida, Celastrales, Celastraceae.